GCAGGGUUGCUGCGGCUGUGAUUCAUCAAAUCAUUCUUGGGUGGAGCCAACUUUUCAUCUUCAGUGUCAUACCUAACGAUGUUUGUCACGAUUCCAUGAAUAGACGUCUCAGCUCUUGGUAGGUUCUCUCUUUCCAGAAUUUCUUGUUGCCCAAUGCAAGACUCGCGCUGUGCAGCAGAGUACAACUCCCGUAGGACUAGAGCUCUAUCUCUGACGAAGCUGUCUUUUCGCUUCUGCAUUGAUAAGAUUUCUCGUUAAAUAUGUGUAAUGUAAAACAAUAGAUCUAAAUGGUGAUAAUCAACACCUUCACAAGAGUAAUAAGGAACGAGUCUAAAAGGUAAACCGAAGAAGGUACCAUACUAUCGAAGAUGGAAAGAAUAACAUGAUUGCUACCCACACAGGUUGCUAUACAAUAUCUGCAGCAAUCCUGAAAUCUCCAUUGAGGAUGCCUUAGAUGGUGGUAUAGGGUUCACUUUUUAGUUCAGAAGAAGCUUUAACUCAGCAAACAUCUGAAUACUGGAACAACCGAUUGAGAGGUUAUAAACGGUUCAGCUAGCAGAUCGGCAAGAUGAAACUGUUUGGACCUAAGAAAGAAAAGGCAAUAUCUCAACUAGAUCUUUGUACAGGGCUUUAACAUUUGGAAGAGUUAUUGAUCAGCAGAAGGUAGAAAUAUGGAAAAGUAAAGUACCGCUAAAAGUACUACUACCUCAGUUCUCGAAUAUUUGUCGCCCGCUAGUUCAUUUUUGAACUAAAACGCGACAAAUAAAAAAGAACGGAUGGAGUACUUUGGAUGGUUGCCCAUGAUAGAAUUCAGUCAGCACAGCAACUUAAGGAGCAGUGGAAAGGGAAAAUACUGUGCAAACUUGUGGGAAGGACCAAUGAGGAAUCAACAGAUCAUAUCCUUUUUUCUUGUCCAAUAGCUAUAUUUGUUUGGUUUUUUUCUUGUCCACUAGCAGUGGAAAGGGGAAAUACUGUGCAAACUUCGUGGCAGCCCUGAUAAAGUGGUGAGAGCUGUCUCACUAACCAUGUCACAGGUUCUGAGCAGUCUCUCCGCAUUUAAUAAGAAGGCUUGCCUUGGUUUAUCCCUUCCUUAGACCCUACUCGGGGCUUGUUCGGUUAUUCCUAUCAUAUGUGGAUUGGAUGAGAUUGGAAAAAAUUAUGAAAGAUUUUGACUUGUUUGGGAUUGAAACCCAUCCAAGCUCACCCAAUCCACAUGGAUUGAGAGCAAAACGAACAGGCCCUCAGGUGGGAGCCUCUGGCACUGGGUCUGGGUCUGCUCCUUUUUAGUGGCACUUUUUAGUUUGAACCGUAUUCCUGUUAGUUGGUCUACUUUCUGGUAUCUCCGCAUAAGUACAUAAUCAACAAAAAAAAUACUUCUAGGCAUAUGAUCAAUCUUUUCUGUGGUGCAGGUAUUAUGUGGGUGCUUUGGAAGAGAAGAAACAACAAGGUGUUCGAGAACAAACUGGUGAAAGACCCCCCAUGUGGUGGUCAGUGGUCUUGAGGGCCAAAGGUCUAUUGCAAGUGGAAAGUGGCGCCAAAGGAGUCAGUGGUGGAACAAGAGCAAAUGUGGCAAAUGAUCGACGAGGAGCUAAUGAAGCAGUGAGACCCACACUGGAGUUCUUGUGUGGAUGGCUGUUUGUCUCAAUGCAGAGAAGUUCAGGGUGUUCGCAGUUUUGCUGGAGUUAGCUUUUGAGUUUCGUUGAUCCUCUUUUCUAGCCUUUUGGUUGGUUGUGAGACUUCAGUCGAGGUGAAGGUUGAGUUGCUCAGCAAGCUUGCUUGCAGCAGAGUGCUUGAACUGUAAACUAGUUUCCCCAGUUGUAAGACUCGGUUAAGCUUUUAAUAAAAGCUGCGCAAUAAUGCCCUUGAGUCUUAAUAUACACCAGAGGGCCACACAACAACAACUAAACAGAAAAGAGUUUCAGGAAUCAGGAGAGAGAAUUUACGGCUUAGGACUAGUUUGGGAACUCCAUUUCUCCAAGGAACUUCCAUUUUUCCAAGGGAAAAUGAACUAAUUUCCCCUCCAUUUCCUAAAAUCCUUUGGAAAAAUGGGGUUGCCAAACUAGCCCUUAGUGUUCAAAAAUCUCGGAUCCCAAUGGUAAGGCUGGUUGCAAGCAGUAACUGCCAUCUAUGCAAGAGCCUUACCAAUUAAGGUAAAUCAUACAUUAUAAUUGCAAUGUCAACUAUGGCCAACGAAAAGUGGGAGUAUCGAGUAGCUAAUCACCUGAAAAUCAACAGGCCAUCCAAUUGAGGAGCUCAAACAGCUGCAACCAUCACUGAAAUUUAAUGUCAACAGCAUGAAAAAUGGUUUGUUCAUCGAUGUUUCCCUACAAAAGUAGACAAUUUGCUCUGUAACUCACAUUUUUCCUCGAACAAGCGAGAGAGUUGUGUAUAUAUUAAUAAGAUAACAGGGGAAGAGCCACACCAAGAGAACUAUAAUAUAAACAAUGCUAGACUAAUAAAUAAAUUGGAAAUUUUCCCUUCUACAUUACCUCUGCAAAGAGAAUGGUUGCUCUUUAAGCACUACAGACUUCAGAUCAGGUCUUUCUGGAAAGAGAAAGCUGCAACCAUCGAUGUUUGUCACGAUUCCAUGAAUAGACGUCUCAGCUCUUGGUAGGUUCUCUCUUUCCAGAAUUUCUUGUUGCCAAUGCAAGACUCGCGCUGUGCAGCAGAGUGCAACUCCCGUAGGACUAGAGCUCUAUCUCUGACGAAGCUGUCUUUUCGCUUCUGCAUUGAUA
This 2735-nucleotide long non-coding RNA is filed under the name Zea mays. RNAcentral's name for it is "long non-coding RNA (ZMAY_LNC000553)". Lineage: Eukaryota; Viridiplantae; Streptophyta; Magnoliopsida; Poales; Poaceae. The record is from RNAcentral.